AUUGAACGCUGGCGGCAGGCCUAACACAUGCAAGUCGAACGAGUGGCGGACGGGUGAGUAAUGUCUGGGAAACUGCCUGAUGGAGGGGGAUAACUACUGGAAACGGUAGCUAAUACCGCAUACCAUCGGAUGUUCCCAGAUGGGAUUAGCUAGUAGGUGGGGUAAAGGCUCACCUAGGCGACGAUCCCUAGCUGGUCUGAGAGGAUGACCAGCCACACUGGGACUGAGACACGGCCCAGACUCGUACGGGAGGCAGCAGUGGGGAAUAUUGCACAAUGGGGGAAACCCUGAUGCAGCCAUCCCGCGUGUGCUAUGAAGGCCGUCGGGUUGUAAAGCACUUUUGGCAGGGAAGCGGGACCUGCAGAAUAAGCACCGGCUAACUACGUGCCAGCAGCCGCGGUAAUAC
RNAcentral lists this ribosomal RNA (406 nucleotides) under uncultured bacterium. RNAcentral's name for it is "partial 16S ribosomal RNA". It matches the Rfam family "Bacterial small subunit ribosomal RNA", at positions 30 to 526 of the family's 1533-position model. The record is from RNAcentral.